GGGGCGAGCGUUGUCCGGAAUCAUUGGGCGUAAAGGGCGCGUAGGCGGUUUUGUAAGUCGGGUGUUAAAACUAUCCGCUCAACGGGUAGCUGCAUCCGAAACUGCUUAACUAGAGAAUGGUAGAGGAAAGCGGAACUUCCGGCGUAGCGGUGAAAUGCGUAGAUAUCGGAAGGAACACCAGUGGCGAAGGCGGCUUUCUGGGCCAUUUCUGACGCUGAGGCGCGAAAGCUAGGGGAGCAAACGGGAUUAGAUACCCCGGUAGUCCUAGCCCUAAACGAUGUUCACUAGGUGCUAAAGGUAUCGACCCCUUUAGUGCCGCAGCUAACGCGUUAAGUGAACCGCCUGGGAAUUACGAUCGCAAGAUUAAAACUCAAAGGAAUUGACGG
Molecule: ribosomal RNA, 386 nt
Filed under: uncultured bacterium
Lineage: Bacteria
Description: bacterial SSU rRNA
Rfam family: Bacterial small subunit ribosomal RNA
Source: RNAcentral